This 254-nucleotide ribosomal RNA is filed under the name uncultured bacterium. RNAcentral's name for it is "partial 16S ribosomal RNA". It matches the Rfam family "Bacterial small subunit ribosomal RNA", at positions 524 to 776 of the family's 1533-position model. The record is from RNAcentral.
UACGUAGGGGCCUAGCGUUGUCCGGAAUUAUUGGGCGUAAAGAGCUCGUAGGUGGUUCGGCAAGUCGGAUGUGAAAUCUCCACGCUUAACGUGGAGGGGCCAUUCGAAACUGCUGUGACUUGAGUCCGGUAGGGGAGUGUGGAAUUCCCGGUGUAGCGGUGAAAUGCGCAGAUAUCGGGAGGAACACCAGUAGCGAAGGCGGCACUCUGGGCCGGUACUGACACUGAGGUGCGAAAGCGUGGGAAGCAAACAGG